RNAcentral lists this long non-coding RNA (926 nucleotides) under Macaca mulatta (Rhesus monkey). RNAcentral describes it as "lncRNA (ENSMMUG00000055219.1)". Lineage: Eukaryota; Metazoa; Chordata; Mammalia; Primates; Cercopithecidae. The record is from RNAcentral.
ACAUAAUUUUAAUUUUGUUUUAAUUUUUGUAAAUUAUAUAUAUGAAUUGGUAUUUACUAUACUAAUAUAUCAAGGUAAAAACUUCAGUCUUUGUUCUCAGCUGUGCUGAACAAAGUUUCGAUUUUAUAGUCUCCAAUUGUUGAAACUCCUCUCUAUGGGACGAAAAGAAAACUUAUACCUGAAAUUCUCUGUUUCCUGGGUUAAUGAGUUUCUUUUUAGACCAAAGAGUCUACUUAAAGCUUAACUUAACUCUUUAUCAGAGUUGGCUUUAUGCAGUUACUUUUUGGUUUCUUUGUUUUUGUUUUUGUUUUUGAGUUGGAGUUUCAUUGUGUCGCCCAGGCUGGAGUGCAGUGGCGCAGUCUCAGCUCACUGCAACCUUCGUCUCCCAGGUUCACGUGACUGUUCCACCUCAGCCUCCCGAAUAGCUGGGAUUACAGGCACACACCACCAUACCCAGCUAAUUUUUGUAUUUUUUGGGAGAGAUGCAGUUUCGCCAUUUUGGCCAGGCUGGUCUUGAACUCCUGACCUAAAGUGAUCUACCUGUCUUGGCCUCCCAAAGUGCUGUGAUUGCAGGCAUGAGCCACCAUGCCCAGCCUAUGCAGUUACCUUUAUGUUCAUCAUUCUCUUUAGGUUAUGAGUCUUUGGAGUGUCAGUCUUUGCACUGCUGCCUUCAGGAUCAUUUCUGGAGGAUUGCAGAGAGAAGUUGGUUAGACUGGGCAGCCAACUGCAAUGGCAGAGUAGACCAGAAGCAAGGGAGGAAUAACAAGACAGGAAAAUGGAAGAGGCAGAGAGAGUCUCAAGGUCCAGGUAAGAGAAAGAAUGGUUUAUGGUUUAAAAUCCCUCCUAGCAUUCUUAUACGGUUUGCAAAAUGCUCAGCUUUGAUGUCUUCAGUGGAAUACCAAAAUUAUGCCCCAAACUUCUUUUGA